Molecule: ribosomal RNA, 442 nt
Filed under: uncultured bacterium
Lineage: Bacteria
Description: bacterial SSU rRNA
Rfam family: Bacterial small subunit ribosomal RNA
Source: RNAcentral
AACGAACGCUGGCGGCAGGCCUAACACAUGCAAGUCGAACGCCCCCUUCGGGGGGAGUGGCGCACGGGUGAGUAACGCGUGGGAAUCUGCCCUUUGGUCUGGAAUAACCCUGGGAAACUAGGGCUAACACCGGAUAAGCCCGAGAGGGGAAAGUUUACGCCGAAGGAGGAGCCCGCGUCCGAUUAGCUAGUUGGUGAGGUAAGAGCUCACCAAGGCUACGAUCGGUAGCUGGUCUGAGAGGACGAUCAGCCACACUGGGACUGAGACACGGCCCAGACUCCUACGGGAGGCAGCAGUGGGGAAUAUUGGACAAUGGGCGCAAGCCUGAUCCAGCCAUGCCGCGUGAGUGAUGAAGGCCUUCGGGUUGUAAAGCUCUUUUGGCGGGGACGAUGAUGACGGUACCCGCAGAAUAAGCCCCGGCAAACUUCGUGCCAGCAGCCGC